This 296-nucleotide signal recognition particle RNA is filed under the name Dictyocaulus viviparus (bovine lungworm). RNAcentral describes it as "Metazoan signal recognition particle RNA". It matches the Rfam family "Metazoan signal recognition particle RNA". Rfam says of the family: The signal recognition particle (SRP) is a universally conserved ribonucleoprotein. It is involved in the co-translational targeting of proteins to membranes. Lineage: Eukaryota; Metazoa; Nematoda; Chromadorea; Rhabditida; Metastrongylidae. The record is from Rfam by way of RNAcentral.
ACCGGGUGCCGUCGCAGGCUCCUGUGAGCCAGUGUCUAGGCGGUAGACUGGUGUGGGUGGAGUGAGGGUAGGAGUCAAGCUGUGGCCGUGAAGUGCGGCGACCAUGCGCCCGUGUCAGGCGUUGUGUCACCAAGGUUGUGCCGCCAAGAAAUGAUGUGACUGGGGCGGUCAAGCAAGGGUGUACGGCUUAAGCCCGAGAGAGAGCAGGCGGAAGCCCUGUACGAAACAGUCGUCGAAUAGCCACGUGAGCAGCUGCUCUGUCGUGUCCUGUCCGACACCUCCUGACCGCCUCUGUC